UACAGAGGGUGCGAGCGUUAAUCGGAAUUACUGGGCGUAAAGCGUGCGUAGACGGUUAUUUAAGUCGGAUGUGAAAGCCCCGGGCUCAACCUGGGAAUUGCAUUCGAGACUGAAUAGCUAGGGUGCGGUAGAGGGAAGCGGAAUUUCCGGUGUAGCGGUGAAAUGCGUAGAUAUCGGAAGGAACAUCAGUGGCGAAAGCGGCUUCCUGGUCCAAUACUGACGUUCAUGUGCGAAAGCGUGGGGAGCAAACAGG
RNAcentral lists this ribosomal RNA (253 nucleotides) under uncultured bacterium. RNAcentral's name for it is "partial 16S ribosomal RNA". It matches the Rfam family "Bacterial small subunit ribosomal RNA", at positions 524 to 776 of the family's 1533-position model. The record is from RNAcentral.